Molecule: ribosomal RNA, 365 nt
Filed under: uncultured eukaryote
Lineage: Eukaryota
Description: partial 18S ribosomal RNA
Rfam family: Eukaryotic small subunit ribosomal RNA
Source: RNAcentral
CAAUAGCGUAUAUUUAAGUUGUUGCAGUUAAAAAGCUCGUAGUCGGAUUUUGGCUGAGAACGAUCGGUCCGCCGUUAGGUGUGCACUGAUUGGUCUCAGCUUCCUGGUGAGGAGGUGUGCUUCACGGCCACUUAGUCACCGUGGUUACUUUGAAAAAAUUAGAGUGUUCAAAGCGGGCUUACGCUUGAAUAUAUUAGCAUGGAAUAACACCAUAGGACUCCCGUCCUAUUUCGUUGGUCUCGGGACGGGAGUAAUGAUUAAGAGGAACAGUUGGGGGCAUUCGUAUUUCAUUGUCAGAGGUGAAAUUCUUGGAUUUAUGAAAGACGAACUUCUGCGAAAGCAUUUGCCAAGGAUGUUUUCAUUAA